Molecule: RNase P RNA, 340 nt
Filed under: Thermoleophilia bacterium
Lineage: Bacteria; Bacillati; Actinomycetota; Thermoleophilia
Description: RNase P RNA component class A
Rfam family: Bacterial RNase P class A
About the family: Ribonuclease P (RNase P) is a ubiquitous endoribonuclease, found in archaea, bacteria and eukarya as well as chloroplasts and mitochondria. Its best characterised activity is the generation of mature 5'-ends of tRNAs by cleaving the 5'-leader elements of precursor-tRNAs.
Source: RNAcentral
CAGGCCUGGCGGCCGCGAGUCGGUUUGACCGGCUCGAGGAAAGUCCGGACACCACAGAGCAGAGUGCUGGUUAACCGCCAGCGAGGGAAACCUCAGGGAAAGUGCCACAGAAACGACACAGCCUCGGAGCUUCGGCUUCGCGGUAACGGUGAAAAGGUGCGGUAAGAGCGCACCAGCGGGCCUGGUGACAGCCCGGCUGGGUAAACCCCACUUGGUGCAAGACCAAAUCGGAGCGUUACAGGUUGCUCGCCUAGCUCCAGGUAGGCCGCUCGAGGGCCUCGGCAACGGGGCUCCUAGAUAGAUGGUCGCCCACGACAGAAUCCGGCUUAUGGCCUGCUAA